CCUACGGGUGGCUGCAGUGGGGAAUAUUGCACAAUGGGCGCAAGCCUGAUGCAGCCAUGCCGCGUGUGUGAAGAAGGCCUUCGGGUUGUAAAGCACUUUCAGCGGGGAGGAAGGCGGUGAGGUUAAUAACCUCAUCGAUUGACGUUACCCGCAGAAGAAGCACCGGCUAACUCCGUGCCAGCAGCCGCGGUAAUACGGAGGGUGCAAGCGUUAAUCGGAAUUACUGGGCGUAAAGCGCACGCAGGCGGUCUGUCAAGUCGGAUGUGAAAUCCCCGGGCUCAACCUGGGAACUGCAUUCGAAACUGGCAGGCUAGAGUCUUGUAGAGGGGGGUAGAAUUCCAGGUGUAGCGGUGAAAUGCGUAGAGAUCUGGAGGAAUAUCGGUGGCGAAGGCGGCCCCCUGGACAAAGACUGACGCUCAGGUGCGAAAGCGUGGGGAGCAAACAGGAUUAGAUACCCCGGUAGUC
This 465-nucleotide ribosomal RNA is filed under the name uncultured Klebsiella sp. RNAcentral's name for it is "bacterial SSU rRNA". It matches the Rfam family "Bacterial small subunit ribosomal RNA", at positions 338 to 795 of the family's 1533-position model. Lineage: Bacteria; Pseudomonadati; Pseudomonadota; Gammaproteobacteria; Enterobacterales; Enterobacteriaceae. The record is from RNAcentral.